Molecule: ribosomal RNA, 736 nt
Filed under: uncultured Staphylococcus sp.
Lineage: Bacteria; Bacillati; Bacillota; Bacilli; Caryophanales; Staphylococcaceae
Description: bacterial SSU rRNA
Rfam family: Bacterial small subunit ribosomal RNA
Source: RNAcentral
UCGAGCGAACGGACGAGAAGCUUGCUUCUCUGAUGUUAGCGGCGGACGGGUGAGUAACACGUGGAUAACCUACCUAUAAGACUGGGAUAACUUCGGGAAACCGGAGCUAAUACCGGAUAAUAUUUUGAACCGCAUGGUUCAAAAGUGAAAGACGGUCUUGCUGUCACUUAUAGAUGGAUCCGCGCUGCAUUAGCUAGUUGGUAAGGUAACGGCUUACCAAGGCAACGAUGCAUAGCCGACCUGAGAGGGUGAUCGGCCACACUGGAACUGAGACACGGUCCAGACUCCUACGGGAGGCAGCAGUAGGGAAUCUUCCGCAAUGGGCGAAAGCCUGACGGAGCAACGCCGCGUGAGUGAUGAAGGUCUUCGGAUCGUAAAACUCUGUUAUUAGGGAAGAACAUAUGUGUAAGUAACUGUGCACAUCUUGACGGUACCUAAUCAGAAAGCCACGGCUAACUACGUGCCAGCAGCCGCGGUAAUACGUAGGUGGCAAGCGUUAUCCGGAAUUAUUGGGCGUAAGGCGCGCGUAGGCGGUUUUUUAAGUCUGAUGUGAAAGCCCACGGCUCAACCGUGGAGGGUCAUUGGAAACUGGAAAACUUGAGUGCAGAAGAGGAAAGUGGAAUUCCAUGUGUAGCGGUGAAAUGCGCAGAGAUAUGGAGGAACACCAGUGGCGAAGGCGACUUUCUGGUCUGUAACUGACGCUGAUGUGCGAAAGCGUGGGGAUCAAACAGGAUUA